Molecule: long non-coding RNA, 1011 nt
Organism: Zootermopsis nevadensis
Lineage: Eukaryota; Metazoa; Arthropoda; Insecta; Blattodea; Termopsidae
Source: RefSeq, a predicted model, not a curated record
CCAAUCGACAGUCACUCAUUACACAGAGAAUCAGAUUUGUUGCGUUGUGGAGUUAUAUUCUGUUUGGACCUAGACAACUGUCAGUAAACAGACUUUAUUUUAAGCUGGAUUAAAGAAGUUUGAUUCCCAUGAAGUGCAAGAAUAUUUCACUCAGCCAUUGUGGGGCUCAAUUAGCCUUCAACCCAACCUACAGAGAUCAUCAAGCACUGAGACAGAAGAAGGACGAGGCUUUGUGGAAAGGGAGAAGCAUCCAACAACAGACGAGGAAACAGGAGAUGGUCUGUGCCAAAAGGGAGUCCCUAUGCAGGAAGUCGGAGAAAAUGGCCAAGUCCAGCGAGAGGCAGAAAAGGCCUUGGCACUUUCCGGGGUCAAAAGGAGGGUAGACUCCCACACGGCUUUACAACCCAGAAAACCAACAUCAUCUUCACCGCCAUGAGAACCUCAAAUCUCCAGUGACUGAAGUUAGCUCAUUUCAAGCGACUCAACUGAGUAGCCCACUCUCCCUUCAACUUUCCACCCGAGCGCGGAAACAUCCAGUCGUCGUCGUCGUGUUCUUUUAAAGUUCUUGCAUAUUCCAGUGCUAUAAACUAAGAGUGGCGUAUGACAGUUUUUCAGGUAUGUAGAAACCCACCAUCUCAGCCUGUUAUUUUUUAAAUUAAUGUAGAACAAUUUAUGGUUCGUUGCCCUUCUGACGUAACCUAUAGUCCAGGAACCUUGACAAAGUCAAAUGCAAAUAAGCCAUUAUAUACGCUUAUGACAUUGUUGAUUUCCUACUUGUCUUCCCCGAUAAAAUGUUGAUCUAUCAUUGCCAAGUAAAGCAACGUACGUUACACAAAGGACGACACACUGGAAGAAACAUACAUUUUAACAUUUUAACCCGGGGGAACUUCAAUACUUUAUAUCGAUGUAAAAAAACAAAAAGUGUUACUAUUUACCUAAUGAAAAAAACAAUUUAUGAAUAAUUAAUAUGUCUAUUGUACAUUACUGUAACCGGAAGUUUCAGCACAGCUG